UCUCCGUAGGUGAACCUGCGGAGGGAUCAUUACAGAGUUCUCGCCCUCGCGGGUAGAUCUCCCACCCACUGUUAUCGUUACUGUGUUGCUUUGGCGGGCCGCCGGGCCCCGCUCGGCCGCCGGCUCCGGCUGGCAAGCGCCCGCCAGAGGACCCAAAACCCUGAAUAUUAGUGUCGUCUGAGUACUAUAUAAUAGUUAAAACUUUCAACAACGGAUCUCUUGGUUCUG
Molecule: unclassified non-coding RNA, 228 nt
Filed under: plant metagenome
Description: partial contains small subunit ribosomal RNA, internal transcribed spacer 1, and 5.8S ribosomal RNA
Source: RNAcentral